RNAcentral lists this unclassified non-coding RNA (316 nucleotides) under Chytridiomycota sp. Its description in RNAcentral is "partial contains 5.8S ribosomal RNA, internal transcribed spacer 2, and large subunit ribosomal RNA". Lineage: Eukaryota; Fungi; Chytridiomycota. The record is from RNAcentral.
CGCAACUUGCGCCCUUUGGUAUUCCGGAGGGCAUAUCUGUUUGAGAAUCAGUUUAACCCUCACACUCUAACAAGUGUGGAAAUGAGAUUUCUCCUUAAAACCGAGUAUCUUUAAACUGAUUACCAACACUUGUUUAUCAAUACUUUUGUUAAACGGCAAGAUUACUGGAUGGUUUUAACCGUUCUUUACUUUGCUUACUAGACAGUUGAGGCGAUUACAUUUAAGUUGGCUAAAAAAGUUAUACGAAAGUCCUUUUUGAAAAAAAAGGCUUUUAAGACUUGGUCUCAAAUCAGAUAAGACUACCCGCUGAACUUAA